ACACCGAUGGUGAAGUGGUUAUCAUGCUUGCCUUCCAUUUGUCAGGUAGCAAGCGGCACGGGUUCGAUUCCCGUUCGGUGUA
Molecule: non-coding RNA, 82 nt
Organism: Lyophyllum atratum
Lineage: Eukaryota; Fungi; Basidiomycota; Agaricomycetes; Agaricales; Lyophyllaceae
Source: the annotation of a GenBank genome assembly